GACGAACGCUGGCGGCGUGCUUAACACAUGCAAGUCGAACGGAAAGGCCCUGCUUUUGUGGGGUGCUCGAGUGGCGAACGGGUGAGUAACACGUGAGUAACCUGCCCUUGACUUUGGGAUAACUUCAGGAAACUGGGGCUAAUACCGGAUAGGAGCUCCUGCUGCAUGGUGGGGGUUGGAAAGUUUCGGCGGUUGGGGAUGGACUCGCGGCUUAUCAGCUUGUUGGUGGGGUAGUGGCUUACCAAGGCUUUGACGGGUAGCCGGCCUGAGAGGGUGACCGGCCACAUUGGGACUGAGAUACGGCCCAGACUCAUACGGGAGGCAGCAGUGGGGAAUAUUGCACAAUGGGCGGAAGCCUGAUGCAGCAACGCCGCGUGCGGGAUGAAGGCCUUCGGGUUGUAAACCGCUUUCGCCUGUGACGAAGCGUGAGUGACGGUAAUGGGUAAAGAAGCACCGGCUAACUACGUG
Molecule: ribosomal RNA, 468 nt
Filed under: uncultured bacterium
Lineage: Bacteria
Description: partial 16S ribosomal RNA
Rfam family: Bacterial small subunit ribosomal RNA
Source: RNAcentral